Long non-coding RNA from Lycium barbarum (goji berry), 1339 nucleotides. RefSeq lists it as uncharacterized. Lineage: Eukaryota; Viridiplantae; Streptophyta; Magnoliopsida; Solanales; Solanaceae. The transcript is spliced from 3 exons. The record is from RefSeq and is a predicted model, not a curated record.
CCCCCGGGACACGUAAAUAUGAGCAAAAGCUCUGAAAGGUCGAGAAAAACUUACGAGUUGGAGGUCCGAUCAUCGAGGGAUAGAUACCGGCCAUACUCUCAUUCGAAAAUGUUAUAACCCAUAUUUCCAUACAUUGAGACGUUUUAAAAUAAACGCGACAAGUUAAGACAAGAUUAUUUUAAGGCGCGAGGUAGAGACUUUUAAUUCCCGAUUUUGUUUCAAUGCACAAGUUGCUUAUAAAUUUUAUUGGUAUAAAAAUAUUAUUGGAGAUUAGGGGUAAAUUAACCAUGAUUAGAUUAUUAAGUGGGAUUAAAAAAAAAAAAUUGAUCACUUCAUUAAUUAAGCCUAAAGGGCCAUGUGGGCCCCACCCGAAUUUAUAAAAAAAAAAAAAAAAAAAAAAGUACCAAAAAUUUGAAAAGUAACAAAACAUAGUGCAAUGUGAGUCACAAAAGAAGGGUGUACGUGUAACACCCUUGGAAAGAAUAUAUAGGGAAUAGGGCAUAGUGCAAAUGACAUCUUUUAAGUCAUUUAUAAAAACAAAAAAAAAAAAAAUCAGCUACCAAGAACUAGUAAACACAUCCAUGGUUGUGCACGGCCAGGUUGAUGAUUAAAAAAAAAAAAUCAGUUUGUUGCUAAUAAAAAUUCUAAGGAGAAGACAAGGAGAAGGAGGUGGAGAAGCAAGAAUAAGCAUAGGAAUUUAAGACACAAAUUGAAGCCAAGUAUUCAAGACCUUGGGGAGCCCGAGUCGUAGAUUUGGAUUAGCGUUAGAUUGGCUAGCUUGGAGUGCGUACAAGGUACAGACGCACAGUUUGGUGAUCCACCUGUUUAGGACACCCCUUCUGCUAUUUGGAGUGCUCCUCUCAUUCCGGAGCUUAUACUUUUGGUAUAUAUUUGUUAGUACAUUUGUAUAUAUUCGUUCAUGGGUACGGCAGGGCCCUGUCCCGUCAUGUGAUUCUGUCGGUCUGUUUAGAGGUCUGUGGACAUGUUUGUGGGUUAGGGUCUUUCUGUAUGGAUGUAUGUACAUGUCGUUUGGGCGAUCCCAUACGCCGAGGCGGCCGGUCCGCAUAUGUUGUUUGGGCGAUCCUAUACGCCGAGGCGGCCGGUCCGCAUAUGUUUAUAUAUUGCUUGGUUAGCCCUGUGUGGCUUUUGUUGGUAUUUUCUGCGUGCAGGGUAUAUUGGAUAGUCCGUAAAACAAAGGAAACUCUGCCGAAAUUUUUCUGGAAAUUACCUAAAUUUGAAAUAAAGCCUUGUCGGCUUCCGCCAUAUACUAGAAUGAGUUGAUAGAAUUUGAGAUAAUAUUUGAUAGAUGUGUUUGGGUGCCCAGAUCGGGCACUAGUCA